GGGUGAUGGGCCGCAGAGACCAGGGAGGAUCGACUGUUUACUAAAAACACAGGUCCGUGCGAAGUCGCAAGACGAUGUAUACGGACUGACGCCUGCCCGGUGCUGGAAGGUUAAGAGGACGGGUCAGCCGUGAGGCGAAGCUCAGAAUUUAAGCCCCAGUAAACGGCGGUGGUAACUAUAACCAUCCUAAGGUAGCGAAAUUCCUUGUCGGGUAAGUUCCGACCUGCACGAAUGGCGUAACGAAUCCUCCACUGUCUCAACCGUGAACUCGGCGAAAUUGCAUUACGAGUAAAGAUGCUCGUUACGCGCAGAAGGACGGAAAGACCCCGGGACCUUCACUAUAGCUUGGUAUUGGUGAUCGGGACGGCUUGUGUAGGAUAGGUGGGAGACUGUGAAGUGGCCGCGCCAGCGGUUGUGGAGUCAUCGUUGAAAUACCACUCUGGUCGUUCUGGUUGUCUAACUUCGGUCCGUGAUCCGGAUCAGGGACAGUGCCUGGUGGGUAGUUUAACUGGGGCGGUUGCCUCCCAAAAAGUAACGGAGGCGCUCAAAGGUUCCCUCAGCCUGGUUGGCAAUCAGGUGUCGAGUGCAAGUGCACAAGGGAGCUUGACUGCGAGACAGACAUGUCGAGCAGGGACGAAAGUCGGAACUAGUGACCCGACGGUGGCAUGUGGAAGCGCCGUCGCUCAACGGAUAAAAGGUACCCCGGGGAUAACAGGCUGAUCUUCCCCAAGAGUCCAUAUCGACGGGAUGGUUUGGCACCUCGAUGUCGGCUCGUCGCAUCCUGGGGGUGGAGUCGCUCCCAAGGGUUGGGCUGUUCGCCCAUUAAAGCGGUACGCGAGCUGGGUUUAGAACGUCGUGAGACAGUUCGGUCCCUAUCCUCUGUGCGCGUAGGAAACUUGAGAAGGGCUGCCCCUAGUACGAGAGGACCGGGGUGGACGAACCACUGGUGUGUCAGUUGUCCUGCCAAGGGCACCGCUGAUUGGCUACGUUCGGAAGUGAUAACCGCUGAAAGCAUCUAAGCGGGAAGCACGCUUCAAGAUGAGGUUUCCAACCCGCUUGCGGGUGAAGGCCCCCAGUAGACCACUGGGUUGAUAGGCCAGAUGUGGAAGCACAGUAAUGUGUGGAGCUGACUGGUACUAAUAGGCCAACAACCUGACUAA
RNAcentral lists this ribosomal RNA (1160 nucleotides) under Kribbia dieselivorans NBRC 106261. Its description in RNAcentral is "bacterial LSU rRNA". It matches the Rfam family "Bacterial large subunit ribosomal RNA", at positions 1767 to 2925 of the family's 2925-position model. Lineage: Bacteria; Bacillati; Actinomycetota; Actinomycetes; Micrococcales; Intrasporangiaceae. The record is from RNAcentral.